GAGGUGAGAGGAUUGCCUGAGCCCAGGAGGUUGAGGCUGUGGUGAGCUGUGAUCAUGCCACUGCACUCCAGCCUGAGUGACAGAGUGAGACC
RNAcentral lists this microRNA precursor (92 nucleotides) under Carlito syrichta (Philippine tarsier). RNAcentral's name for it is "miRNA (ENSTSYG00000029169.1)". The record is from RNAcentral. Lineage: Eukaryota; Metazoa; Chordata; Mammalia; Primates; Tarsiidae.